AUGCUGGAGGUAUCAGAAGUGCGAAUGCUGACAUAAGUAACGAUAAAGCGGGUGAAAAGCCCGCUCGCCGGAAGACCAAGGGUUCCUGUCCAACGUUAAUCGGGGCAGGGUGAGUCGACCCCUAAGGCGAGGCCGAAAGGCGUAGUCGAUGGGAAACAGGUUAAUAUUCCUGUACUUGGUGUUACUGCGAAGGGGGGACGGAGAAGGCUAUGUUGGCCGGGCGACGGUUGUCCCGGUUUAAGCGUGUAGGCUGGUUUUCCAGGCAAAUCCGGAAAAUCAAGGCUGAGGCGUGAUGACGAGGCACUACGGUGCUGAAGCAACAAAUGCCCUGCUUCCAGGAAAAGCCUCUAAGCAUCAGGUAACAUCAAAUCGUACCCCAAACCGACACAGGUGGUCAGGUAGAGAAUACCAAGGCGCUUGAGAGAACUCGGGUGAAGGAACUAGGCAAAAUGGUGCCGUAACUUCGGGAGAAGGCACGCUGAUAUGUAGGUGAAGUCCCUCGCGGAUGGAGCUGAAAUCAGUCGAAGAUACCAGCUGGCUGCAACUGUUUAUUAAAAACACAGCACUGUGCAAACACGAAAGUGGACGUAUACGGUGUGACGCCUGCCCGGUGCCGGAAGGUUAAUUGAUGGGGUCAGCGCAAGCGAAGCUCUUGAUCGAAGCCCCGGUAAACGGCGGCCGUAACUAUAACGGUCCUAAGGUAGCGAAAUUCCUUGUCGGGUAAGUUCCGACCUGCACGAAUGGCGUAAUGAUGGCCAGGCUGUCUCCACCCGAGACUCAGUGAAAUUGAACUCGCUGUGAAGAUGCAGUGUACCCGCGGCAAGACGGAAAGACCCCGUGAACCUUUACUAUAGCUUGACACUGAACAUUGAGCCUUGAUGUGUAGGAUAGGUGGGAGGCUUUGAAGUGUGGACGCCAGUCUGCAUGGAGCCGACCUUGAAAUACCACCCUUUAAUGUUUGAUGUUCUAACGUGGACCCGUGAUCCGGGUUGCGGACAGUGUCUGGUGGGUAGUUUGACUGGGGCGGUCUCCUCCUAAAGAGUAACGGAGGAGCACGAAGGUUGGCUAAUCCUGGUCGGACAUCAGGAGGUUAGUGCAAUGGCAUAAGCCAGCUUGACUGCGAGCGUGACGGCGCGAGCAGGUGCGAAAGCAGGUCAUAGUGAUCCGGUGGUUCUGAAUGGAAGGGCCAUCGCUCAACGGAUAAAAGGUACUCCGGGGAUAACAGGCUGAUACCGCCCAAGAGUUCAUAUCGACGGCGGUGUUUGGCACCUCGAUGUCGGCUCAUCACAUCCUGGGGCUGAAGUAGGUCCCAAGGGUAUGGCUGUUCGCCAUUUAAAGUGGUACGCGAGCUGGGUUUAGAACGUCGUGAGACAGUUCGGUCCCUAUCUGCCGUGGGCGCUGGAGAACUGAGGGGGGCUGCUCCUAGUACGAGAGGACCGGAGUGGACGCAUCACUGGUGUUCGGGUUGUCAUGCCAAUGGCACUGCCCGGUAGCUAAAUGCG
Molecule: ribosomal RNA, 1502 nt
Filed under: Escherichia coli
Lineage: Bacteria; Pseudomonadati; Pseudomonadota; Gammaproteobacteria; Enterobacterales; Enterobacteriaceae
Description: bacterial LSU rRNA
Rfam family: Bacterial large subunit ribosomal RNA
Source: RNAcentral